AUGGCUCAGGAUGAACGCUAGCUACAGGCUUAACACAUGCAAGUCGAGGGGCAGCAUAAGAGUAGCUUGCUACUUUGAUGGCGACCGGCGCACGGGUGCGUAACACGUAUCCAAUCUACCCACGGCUCAGGGAUAGCCUUUCGAAAGAAAGAUUAAUACCUGAUGGUCUCCUUUAGGGACAUCCCUUUAGGAGUAAAGACUCAUCGGCCAUGGAUGAGGAUGCGUCCGAUUAGCUUGACGGCGGGUAACGGCCCACCGUGGCAACGAUCGGUAGGGUUCUGAGAGGAAGGUCCCCCACACUGGAACUGAGACACGGUCCAGACUCCUACGGGAGGCAGCAGUGAGGAAUAUUGGUCAAUGGUCGGAAGACUGAACCAGCCAAGUAGCGUUGAGGGAUGACUGCCCUAUGGGUUGUAAACCUCUUUUAUUGGGGAACAAAUUGGGCCACGUGUGGUCCUUUGCGUGUACCCUAUGAAUAAGCAUCGGCUAAUUCCGUGCCAGCAGCCGC
This 508-nucleotide ribosomal RNA is filed under the name uncultured bacterium. RNAcentral's name for it is "bacterial SSU rRNA". It matches the Rfam family "Bacterial small subunit ribosomal RNA", at positions 19 to 518 of the family's 1533-position model. The record is from RNAcentral.